CGGGGUGUAGCGCAGCUUGGUAGCGCGCUUCGUUCGGGACGAAGAGGUCGCUGGUUCAAAUCCAGUCACCCCGA
RNAcentral lists this transfer RNA (74 nucleotides) under Bacteroidota bacterium. Its description in RNAcentral is "Bacteroidetes bacterium tRNA-Pro". It matches the Rfam family "tRNA". Rfam says of the family: Transfer RNA (tRNA) molecules are approximately 80 nucleotides in length. Their secondary structure includes four short double-helical elements and three loops (D, anti-codon, and T loops). Further hydrogen bonds mediate the characteristic L-shaped molecular structure. tRNAs have two regions of fundamental functional importance: the anti-codon, which is responsible for specific mRNA codon recognition, and the 3' end, to which the tRNAs corresponding amino acid is attached (by aminoacyl-tRNA synthetases). tRNAs cope with the degeneracy of the genetic code in two manners: having more than one tRNA (with a specific anti-codon) for a particular amino acid; and 'wobble' base-pairing, i.e. permitting non-standard base-pairing at the 3rd anti-codon position. The record is from RNAcentral. RNAcentral also lists the same sequence under 2 other names. Lineage: Bacteria; Pseudomonadati; Bacteroidota.